UGUGGUUGUCAUACCACCCUGAAUCUCAUUUGAUCUCAGAAGAUAAGCAAGGUAGGGCCUGGCUAAUACUUGAACAAGAGGAUAGUAUAUAGAGGAAGAAUAGAAUGUGGCCAUAG
RNAcentral lists this ribosomal RNA (116 nucleotides) under Jaculus jaculus (lesser Egyptian jerboa). The record is from RNAcentral. Lineage: Eukaryota; Metazoa; Chordata; Mammalia; Rodentia; Dipodidae.